AUAUAUAGAAUAAUACAUGAUAUUGGUCGAGUGAUGAUACAGUAUGCGAUACGGAUUUUUCCAUGUAUUAUUAUGUUCAUCACAUAUUUUAAUAAUAUCAAAUUUUGGGAUAUCCAUUUUUUGUUUUAAAUCGACGGUCCACUAACGAUACUGUCCAAAAUCAACAAAUAAUUAUAAGAUGUAGAAAUGUUUAAAGUUUUAUUGUUAAGUUUAAACAUAUUUAUUUACUGUAGAUUGGGGAACAAGUUUUUUCGCAACUUAUAUUAAUCCCUUUCCACUUUGCGAAUGCGAGUGCUGCCUUGUAGCGGCGUUAGCCUACUCUUUUUCGAAGUCGUAAAGGGUGUCUUUUACGUGCAAGAUAUAUGGCUCUCUCUUAAUACAGGUCAACCAUUUAUCGUCCCCUUCCAACGGACUAUCAUUGUUUCCCAAAGACCAUACUCGCAAAUGGUGACAAGGGAGAGCCAAAAAUUGAGUGUUUUUGUUUAUUUGGCGAUGAUAUCAUUCAUGAUUCUUUCAAUUUGCUGAAGAGGUGAACAGCAGUACAAUUAUUUCUUGAAAAGUUGCUAUCUACAUGUAUUCUAACCAAAAUUUAAACCGUAAAAAUUUGCAUUUGUGUUUAAUCCAUCACGAAAUGAAAACAAUCUUCACGAAAAUUAUGACCAAAUAAACAAUAAAACUUCAUAUAUUUCUACAUCUAAUAUUGUGUCUUUUUAUAUAUAUAUAUAUAAAAUCGAUCCUAAACUUACUGGGUAAUUGUUUUGGGAAAAAUAUCGAUUAUGAUAGGACAUUUUUUUUGGGGGGACUCAUUUUAUUCCCUAUGCCAGAAACUACAGCAACUGAACGUCAUAGUUCAAACGCUGACGUCAUUCGAAUUGUAAUGUCAUGGCAGGUACGGGUUAUGCAAUACAGGGUUGGUGAUACAGAUUGGAAAAAAACCUUUAUAAGAUAUACAAAAUUGCUGUAUUUUGUACUAAACAUAUGUCUCUUUUGAUAAAUACUUUUACAUACGUAAUAACUGGAAUGGUUAUUUGAAGCCAUUUUUCGUGGCCAAUUGGAUUUUUUUUCUAAAUACACACUUUUUGUCUUUAGAAUUGGAUUGGAAGUUCAAACGCAAAAGGUUUAUUGGCAACCUUUUCAAUAAUUUCUGCUUCAUGAAAAAUUUGUUUUACAUUUGAAACUUUGAAUUUGUUUUCUUUUCAGAACUUUCUAUUGAGUAUAGUUUUAAUUGUAACGUAAUUUUAAUCCGAACGCACUACCUUGCUCAACGUUACGCAAAGUAUGGCGUCGUAAGACGUACAUGUUCUGUUUAUAAUUGACGCUGUCCAUUUACGUUACUUAUCAGAAAAAUGAAAUUAACAAAGGUACUGAACUCCGAUGAAAAUACAAAAUUGAAAGUUUCUUUUUAAAUGGCUUGGUAAAUGCAUUUGUUUGCAAAUUUGUGAUUGAAAAAUUGAUAUUUAUACAAACAAAUUGUAAUUUACCUCCUCUAUCGAUUUUUAUCAAAUAAAUACAUACAUUUAUACAAUUAAGAUCGUUGGUUUUCCCGUUUGAAUGUUUUUACACUGGUA
This 1568-nucleotide long non-coding RNA is filed under the name Mytilus galloprovincialis (Mediterranean mussel). The record is from RNAcentral. Lineage: Eukaryota; Metazoa; Mollusca; Bivalvia; Mytilida; Mytilidae.